AAGCUUGCUUCAAUUGCCGGCGACCGGCGCACGGGUGAGUAACGCGUGAGCAACCUGCCUUUCAGAGGGGGAUAACGUCUUGAAAAGGACGCUAAUACCGCAUGACAUUACGUUUUCGCAUGGAGAUGUAAUCAAAGGAGCAAUCCGCUGAAAGAUGGGCUCGCGUCCGAUUAGGUAGUUGGCGGGGUAGAGGCCCACCAAGCCGACGAUCAGUAGCCGGCCUGAGAGGGUGAACGGCCACAUUGGGACUGAGACACGGCCCAGACUCC
Molecule: ribosomal RNA, 269 nt
Filed under: uncultured bacterium
Lineage: Bacteria
Also listed under: 1 other name
Description: partial 16S ribosomal RNA
Rfam family: Bacterial small subunit ribosomal RNA
Source: RNAcentral